RNAcentral lists this transfer RNA (65 nucleotides) under Dipodomys ordii (Ord's kangaroo rat). It matches the Rfam family "tRNA". From Rfam's summary of the family: Transfer RNA (tRNA) molecules are approximately 80 nucleotides in length. Their secondary structure includes four short double-helical elements and three loops (D, anti-codon, and T loops). The record is from Rfam by way of RNAcentral. Lineage: Eukaryota; Metazoa; Chordata; Mammalia; Rodentia; Heteromyidae.
GGUGGCUCAGUGGUAAAGUGCUUGCCUGGCAUGCAUGAGGCCCUGGGUUCAAUUCCUCAGCACCG